GACGAACGCUGGCGGCGUGCCUAAUACAUGCAAGUCGAGCGGAGCUUAUCCUUCGGGGUAAGCUUAGCGGCGGACGGGUGAGUAACACGUAGGCAACCUGCCCCUUAGCCUGGGAUAACUACCGGAAACGGUAGCUAAUACCGGAUAAUUUCUUUUUUCUCCUGAAGAGAGAAUGAAAGGCGGAGCAAUCUGCCAUUAAGGGAUGGGCCUGCGGCGCAUUAGCUAGUUGGUGGGGUAACGGCUCACCAAGGCGACGAUGCGUAGCCGACCUGAGAGGGUGAACGGCCACACUGGGACUGAGACACGGCCCAGACUCCUACGGGAGGCAGCAGUAGGGAAUCUUCCGCAAUGGGCGAAAGCCUGACGGAGCAACGCCGCGUGAGUGAUGAAGGUUUUCGGAUCGUAAAGCUCUGUUGCCAGGGAAGAACGUCCGGUAGAGUAACUGCUACCGGAGUGACGGUACCUGAGAAGAAAGCCCCGGCUAACUACGUGCCAGCCGCCGCAGUAA
This 508-nucleotide ribosomal RNA is filed under the name uncultured bacterium. Its description in RNAcentral is "partial 16S ribosomal RNA". It matches the Rfam family "Bacterial small subunit ribosomal RNA", at positions 28 to 523 of the family's 1533-position model. The record is from RNAcentral.